RNAcentral lists this long non-coding RNA (339 nucleotides) under Elaeis guineensis (African oil palm). RNAcentral describes it as "long non-coding RNA (EGUI_LNC026184)". Lineage: Eukaryota; Viridiplantae; Streptophyta; Magnoliopsida; Arecales; Arecaceae. The record is from RNAcentral.
GAUCUCCAUCAACACCUGGAUCCUUAGGGUAUUCAGUGGGGUGUAAGUAUGGUACCUCCUUAGUGGGGGUGAGACACGUCGAUCCUUCCUCUGAGGGCUUAGAGGUCAGUGAUUUCGAGGAGGGGUCCCAUUCCUUUGGCGACAAGGCAGAGAUCUGGAGCGCUGUCGAGUCUUCUUCUCUCGCUCCAACAAGUGCUCCUUAUUCAAACUCUUAGGCAUCCCCCCAAUAGGGAUAUCUUCAUCUAUGAAGACUUCAUCCAUGAAUGCAUACUUCUCUACCCGAGCUAACAUGUCAGUAUAGCCCUGGGGGUAGGUCUUCAUCAGUGACCGUUUGAGAUC